GGGAGAAUGGGCUGGCAGAGAAUAGAAGAGAGAAAUCAAAUAACCUUUUAAACAAUCUGGGGGUUAAGGGAUUGUUUGAGCCAUUCAGAUCAAAGAAGUCUCUUUGGGGUGCUUCAGAAGAGGCCCAAUAAAGUUGGUGCUAAGGAGACUCACAAAGCUAGGUGGCAGCUUACAUAUGAAGGGACCUGCUAAGAGGUUAUGGAAGUGGUUCUACCCAUGUUAUCACCUUGGCAGUCACCACCCCUCAAGUGCAACUUUAAAGAAGCUGACACUGAAGAUUAUUUGGAAGCCAUAACCAAUAGAGCACACCACGUGAGCCCAUUAGGAGACCGGCUCCUUCCCACCUGCCACCUCACGCCAGCCAGCAAUCUCAGCGUCCCCACUCCACUCUUGCUCAUGUAGAGCUAUCCAAUCCUGAGUGGCAGGACUUGGCAGGACAGCUGUUGGGCUCCCCACACAUUUGGAGGAGGGGAAAAUAUGAGGGCCAUCUGUCCCUCUGAAACUGCCUUUGGUUGCACAGUUUUGAAUCCAGGGGACAAUCCACGUGAAGAAGUGAUUGUCCCUUCAUGUUUUCUCGGAAGGGAUUACAAUUUUUUAAAAAACACCCUUUGUUUUUGUUCUUUGCACGUUCUCCAGUUGAAAUACUGCACUCAUUGAACUGCCAGGAAUAAAGCCUGGGAGCGGACACUGGGCUGGUGUGACGUCAAUUUGUUAAGCAAGGGCACUGUUCCCUAAAUAUGCUGGAAUUAUGUGCAUUCUUUAUUAAGAAAAGUGGGGGGAUGGCUCUUUGGAUGCUUGACAUAGUUAUCUUUCAACCUCUUCUGCUCCAUUUAAAACUAAGAUUCUUUGUCUUCGUUGGUGUCUGUCAUUUAAGACCAUGUGGUUGGCAAGUUAAUGCACUGAAGAAUGAAAAAAAAAAAUCUUUUGUGUCCUGACCUUCAUGAAUUCAAUAACUCAAGAUGGCCACACACCUAUGAGUCUGAAUCAAAGAUAUUCACAGAUCCAGUAAGAGAUAAAGAAGGAAUUUGUCUACAGGAUUCUUUUAUCCUGGAGGUGCUUCAUGUCACCCAGUUGUGUGGCUGUUUUUUUUACAAAGCCAUUGCCCCUCUAGGAAGUAUUGAUUUAGUCUGGUUAAACAUGUCAAGUGAGAGGAAAUGAUCAAUGAAUCACUGCUUCAAAACAUUUAGCCCAGCCAUGGAAUCUGCUGAUUUUUGUAAUCUCGAAGAGGCUGAUGCAGGAGCUUGGGGGAAGAAGUGAAAAUUCCAAAUGUUUCCUUCAUCUUUUUUUUUUCCAUGUCCAUAAAUGAAAACACAAGUUCAAGAAUAUUGUU
Mustela erminea (ermine) is the source of this 1330-nucleotide long non-coding RNA. RefSeq lists it as uncharacterized. NCBI's taxonomy places the organism in Eukaryota, Metazoa, Chordata, Mammalia, Carnivora, Mustelidae. The transcript has 4 exons. The record is from RefSeq and is a predicted model, not a curated record.